Molecule: ribosomal RNA, 231 nt
Filed under: uncultured Staphylococcus sp.
Lineage: Bacteria; Bacillati; Bacillota; Bacilli; Caryophanales; Staphylococcaceae
Description: partial 16S ribosomal RNA
Rfam family: Bacterial small subunit ribosomal RNA
Source: RNAcentral
AGUAACACGUGGAUAACCUACCUAUAAGACUGGGAUAACUUCGGGAAACCGGAGCUAAUACCAGAUAACAUGUUGAACCGCAUGGUUCAACAGUGAAAGACGGUCUUGCUGUCACUUAUAGAUGGAUCCGCGCCGCAUUAGCUAGUUGGUAAGGUAACGGCUUACCAAGGCAACGAUGCGUAGCCGACCUGAGAGGGCGAUCGGCCACACUGGAACUGAGACACGGUCCAG